ACAACGAACUGCAAGAAGUCAGCAGAAGCCAUAGUACCAGGGGGGUAAAAAAAUCUCUGGGAAGGGC
This 67-nucleotide non-coding RNA is filed under the name human gut metagenome. The record is from RNAcentral.